RNAcentral lists this ribosomal RNA (1161 nucleotides) under Triticum aestivum (bread wheat). Its description in RNAcentral is "partial small subunit ribosomal RNA". The record is from RNAcentral. Lineage: Eukaryota; Viridiplantae; Streptophyta; Magnoliopsida; Poales; Poaceae.
AUGGCGGGGAGUGGGAAGAGGAGGCGCGCGACGGUGCUCGACGACGACGAGCGGCGGGGCCGGCGGAGGCUGGAGGAGGCGGCCCUGCUCCUCCACAAGAUCAAAGGGCUGGUGGGCUGGGUGGUCGCGGAGAUCAGCGCCGGCCGAUCCCCUUCCCUGGCGCUCCACCGCUACCAGAACUACUGCGCCUGCGCCUCCGCCGCCGCCGCGGCGUCCCCGUCCACAUGCGCCUGCAGCUACGACGCCCCCGUCGGCACGGACGUCCUCUCCCUCCUCCGCAAGGAAUUCCACGCCUCCCGCCUCAAUGUGCUUCUCAGGGUCCUGCUCGUGGUGCAGCAGCUCCUGCAGGAGAAUAAGCACUGCUCCAAGAGGGACAUCUACUACAUGUACCCCUCCAUGUUCGUAGAACAAGCGAUUGUUGAUCGUGCGAUCAACGAUAUCUGCAUACUCUUCAAGUGCAGCCGGCAUAAUCUCAACGUGGUUCCUGUGGCAAAAGGUUUGGUGAUGGGCUGGAUAAGAUUUGUGGAGGGUGAAAAGAAAGUGUACUGCAUAACAAACGUCAAUACUGCUUUCCCCAUUCCAGUUAGCAUUGAAGCAAUCAAAGAUGUUGUUAGUGUUGCUCACUACAUCCUUGUUGUUGAGAAGGAGGCAGUAUUCCAGCGUUUGGCCAAUGACAAGUUCUGCGAAAAGAAUCGCUGCAUUGUUAUUACAGGAAGAGGCUACCCAGAUAUUCCAACAAGAAGAUUCUUGCGCUACCUUGUCGAACAGCUGCACUUGCCUGCUUAUUGCUUAGUGGAUUCAGAUCCGUAUGGUUUUGAUAUUCUGGCCACCUAUAAAUUUGGUUCCAUGCAAUUGGCAUAUGAUGCAAAUAUUCUGCGUGUGCCUGAGAUACGAUGGCUUGGGGUCUUCACAUCUGACUUUGAGGAGUAUUGUCUUCCAGACUGCUGUCAACUUCAAUUGUCAUCUGAAGAUAGGAGGAAGCUUGAAGGAAUUCUCACCAGAUGUUACUUGCACAAGGAAGCCCCAGAAUGGAGGUUGAAGUUGGAAGCCAUGCUGGAAAUGGGUGUCAAGUUUGAGAUUGAAGCAUUGUCAGCAAGUUCCAUUUCGUUUCUGUCGCAGGAGUACAUCCCCCAACAGAUCAGACUAGGGAGGUACAUAUAG